This 519-nucleotide ribosomal RNA is filed under the name uncultured eukaryote. RNAcentral's name for it is "SSU rRNA". It matches the Rfam family "Eukaryotic small subunit ribosomal RNA", at positions 1161 to 1699 of the family's 1831-position model. The record is from RNAcentral.
AGGGCACCACCAGGAGUGGAGCCUGCGGCUUAAUUUGACUCAACACGGGAAAACUCACCCGGCCCGGACACUGGAAGGAUUGACAGAUUGAGAGCUCUUUCUUGAUUCAGUGGGUGGUGGUGCAUGGCCGUUCUUAGUUGGUGGAGUGAUUUGUCUGGUUAAUUCCGAUAACGAACGAGACUCUAGCCUACUAAAUAGAUCGUCGGCUUACAAACGCCGGCGAGACUUCUUAGAGGGACAGGCGGUGAUUCAACCGCACGAAACAGAGCAAUAACAGGUCUGUGAUGCCCUUAGAUGUCCGGGGCCGCACGCGCGCUACACUGAAGUGAUCAGCGUGCUUUUUCAACCUACUCUGUCAAGAGUGGGGAACCCAAUGAACCUUCUUCGUGAUUGGGAUAGGGGAUUGUAAUUAUUCCCCUUGAACGAGGAAUUCCCAGUAAGCGCGAGUCAUAAGCUCACGUUGAUUACGUCCCUGCCCUUUGUACACACCGCCCGUCGCUACUACCGAUUGAAUGUUUU